ACUCCUACGGGAGGGCAGCAGUGGGGAAUAUUGCCACAAUGGGCGCAAGCCUGAUGCAGCCAUGCCGCGUGUGUGAAGGAAGGCCUUCGGGUUGUAAAGCACUUUCAGUUGUGAGGAAAGGUUUAGUCGCUAAUAUCGGCUAGCUGUGACGUUAGCAACAGAAGAAGCACCGGCUAACUCCGUGCCAGCAGCCGCGGUAAUACGGAGGGUGCGAGCGUU
Molecule: ribosomal RNA, 219 nt
Filed under: uncultured bacterium
Lineage: Bacteria
Description: partial 16S ribosomal RNA
Rfam family: Bacterial small subunit ribosomal RNA
Source: RNAcentral